Molecule: long non-coding RNA, 579 nt
Organism: Caretta caretta (loggerhead turtle)
Lineage: Eukaryota; Metazoa; Chordata; Testudines; Cheloniidae
Source: RefSeq, a predicted model, not a curated record
CAAGCAGAGAUGCUAAAUGAAAAUGUGAGUCAGCCACAAGAUUUUGCAAAGAUGUGGGUUUCUAAAAUCAGAGCGGAAGAAACAAACACUUUCCAAGGAAAGGGGGUGACAGCAGAACGUUAUGGCAGGGCAGUUGCAGUGCUAACGGUGGAAACCUCACUCCAUGGCCAAGCAAUAGCAGCAGAGUUUUUAAGGCUCUAUUCGGUGUCUGUGGUGGAAGAUCACCUUCCAGGCAAGAUACCAACAGAUUUGACCGAUUUGAGCUCAAGAGGCAAGAGUAUUGUAUGACUUCAGAAGAACACAGGAGUUGCUAUGCGAGAUGAAACCAGUGGUCCAUCUUGUUCAGAAGGGCUGGUCUACACUACUGCACAGCUGGAGUGCAGGAGUCGACGGGGGAGCAAUCUGCCAUUGAUGUAGCAGGUCUUCACCAGAUCCACUAAACUGACACCACUGCAUCAAUCGCAGCAAUGCUGAUCUACCGGUAAGUGUAGACAUGGCCACUGGUCUUGGAAGCAGCUAGUAUUGACCACUGUUGGAGGAAGGUACAGGAAAACUUGUGGUAGACAGCUAUGUGAUAAU